CGAGAGCAUCCUGCCGGGCUGUAUCGCCGCCUGGUACGGCAACUGCUCCGCCCACAACCGUAAGGCUCUCACACUCGGCCCUCCAUGGAAUGAGUUUGACACGUGAUUUAGAGGGUUACUAGAAAUGAUCUAAUUAGCAGCUGAAGCCAGUGGAUCAAACAGUCCUAAAGAUGAGCCCAAGCCUGAGAUGCCACUCCAUUGAAGUAGAAAGACCACCAGUAAAGAAUCCAGUAUUUUAGGAUGCUGGUGGGGUAAAUGAGAACAAGAAAAAUGGGGCACCUGUGUAAUGAUCAUGCUUCUUGAUAUGCCACACCUAUAAUGUGGAAGAAUUAUCUUGGCCAAGGACAAAUGUUUACUAACAGGGAUGUACACAACAUUUGUCCGGAAUAAGGUUUUUGUGAGUAUGGAACAUUUCUUGGAUCAUUUAUUUCAGCUCAUGAAACAUGGGACCGAGACUUUGCAUGUUGCGUUUAUAUUUUUGUUCAGUGUAUAAAUGGUAAAUGAAGGGAAACAGGCAAACAUUGCACAUAGUAACUUGCAUGCAAUCAAAUGAAGUACAGUGAGCUACAAAAGUAUUGGGUCAGUGACACAUAUUUAGUUGUUUUGGCUCUGUACUUCAGCACUUUAGAUUUAAAAUGAUACAAUGACUAUGAGGUUAAAGUGCAGUCUGUCAGGUUUCAUUUGAGGGUAUUGUCAUCCGUAUCGGGUGAACUCUUUAGAAAUUGCAGCAUGUCUUGUACAUAGACCCCCCAUUUUAGGGGAGCAAAGGUUUUGGAACAAAUUCACAUGUGUAUUAAAGUAGUGUAAAGUUUAGUAUUUGGUCCCAUAUUCCUAGCACACAAUGAUUACAUUAAGCUUGUGACUCUACUUGUUGGAUGCAUUUGCUGUUUGUUUUGGUUGUGUCUCAGAUUAUUUUGUGCCCAAUAGAAAUUAAUGGUAAAUAAUGCAUUGUUACUUUUAUUCUGCACAUGAGUUGCGUUCCCAUGCAAAACUAGACAGAUCGCUAACAACUAAGUCUUCAAUAAAACUCCCAAGGCGUGACUUUUCUUGAAUUAAUAUAUUGAAAACGUUGUGAAAAAACAAAUAUUUUCCAAGGCUUAAGCGUGACAAGAAAUAACUACACUGAAAGACCUGCACCGUAGCAUUGUUUUUAGCUGCUUCUAUGCGUGCGGAACGAAUUCUCUACUUCCUGUUUGCGUACAGGCGAAGUACCAGAAAGCUCCACCAGGGGGCGAAUAACACCAUGGAACAAUGAAAAUCCAUUUGAACCAUUGACAUAAAAUUAUCUGUUACCUCCUAACAGGAUGGCAGCACAACUUUUAUUUUAAAUAAGAAUAUGUUUCUAGACACGUUUACCUGACUAUGGAUGCUACCUAUGAUUACUGAUAAUCCUGAAUGAAUCGUGAAUAAUGAUGAGUGAUUAAGUUAGACAGUCUGCACUUUAACCUCAGUCAUUGUAUGAUUUAAAAUCCUUUAAAAUUUAAGUGCUGAAGUAUAGAGUCAAAACAACCAAAAAAGGUUCACUGUCUCAAUGCUUUUGGAGCUCACUGUAUAAUGUGAUGAGCUGUGUGCUUUAUGAAUUUAUAGUACUUCAGAAAUGAGGGCAAUAUUUGUAUCAGAACAAUUUGAUGGGAAAGAAACAAGAGAUUAUCUUCUACUUUGAGGUAAAUAGCUUUGUGGAUUCUUACCCUUUCUCAGUAUUCAUGUCUCAUCUUUUAAAAUCUCAAUCAAUUUGUGAUGGUUGUUUUUGUUUGAAGCUGUAGUAUCAAUCACUUUGUGGUUGAAUGAUUCCUUUUCAGGUAUUUUCUGCAGAGCGCUUUAUGCCAACCCAAUGCACUUUCUGUUUUAAAUCGCAGCUGAAUGAAUGUCUUAUAUCAUUUCACUUGACCUAUGUCAAGGAAUUUGUACAGGUUAU
Long non-coding RNA from Oncorhynchus kisutch (coho salmon), 1915 nucleotides. RefSeq lists it as uncharacterized. NCBI's taxonomy places the organism in Eukaryota, Metazoa, Chordata, Actinopteri, Salmoniformes, Salmonidae. The transcript has 3 exons. The record is from RefSeq and is a predicted model, not a curated record.